CCAGAAACAAAAAUAUCAAAAGGCCACUAUCUCUAUUAGAUCUCGUAAAGAUUUAUGAUAGAUUACGAUAAUAAAGACAAUAAGAUUUUUCAUUGUAUAUAUAUGAAUAAUUAACCUAAGGUGAUCUACUUUGGUCAGUUUCUUUAGUCUGUAUGCACGUGAAGUAAAGUAGAAGAAAAAAAUGUUAUGAAACAGACACACA
RNAcentral lists this long non-coding RNA (202 nucleotides) under Mytilus galloprovincialis (Mediterranean mussel). The record is from RNAcentral. Lineage: Eukaryota; Metazoa; Mollusca; Bivalvia; Mytilida; Mytilidae.